GACGAACCGUGCGAACGUUGUUCGGAAUCACUGGGCUUAAAGGGAGCGUAGGCGGGCUAACAAGUCUGGGGUGAAAUACCGCGGCUCAACCGUGGAACUGCCUCAGAUACUGUCGGCCUCGAGGAAGGUAGGGGCAUGCGGAACUGUAGGUGGAGCGGUGAAAUGCGUUGAUAUCUACAGGAACUCCGGUGGCGAAAGCGGCGUGCUGGACCUUUUCUGACGCUGAGGCUCGAAAGCUAGGGGAGCAAACGGG
Molecule: ribosomal RNA, 253 nt
Filed under: uncultured bacterium
Lineage: Bacteria
Description: partial 16S ribosomal RNA
Rfam family: Bacterial small subunit ribosomal RNA
Source: RNAcentral